GCUGAGCCUUCGUUGCUGUGUCCUGUAUCCCAGAAGAAUGGGAGAAAAGAGACUUGACAGUUUCCUGCCCCAGCUGGAAACAGAUGGCUCACUUAAACUGGAUAAUUUGAAGAGCAUGAAUAGAGGAAUUGUUUACAGAGUUGUCACAGGAUACAGGAAUCAAAAAGACAGUGAUGUUUCCACAGGCUGGCAAAAUCUGGAAGCCCACCCUUGUGAGAAGAGAGAAGCCAGGACCCCUGGUGAGGGGAUCAUGCUGAGCCCCUACACAGCUGCAGGCGGAGGACUGGUCGUGAAGGAAAGGUGGACCUUGUGAUUAGAGGUUUGCACCCAGUUGUUCAGAAGCACAAGUGGCCCGAAACCGCUGCAAUCCCUGAAACCACCUCCCUGGAGCUUGUAACUGGUGUCUGCAGUGUGGGGGCCUCAGGUGGACCAUGCCCUUAACCUGCGAAACCCGACCCAAUGCUGAGGAAUGAGUGUCACAAUUGCAUUGAGAGCAAGUUCAAAGCGAAGGUGACGAUACAGGGCCUGUGGCUGAGAGAUAUGGACCUGGGACGGGAGGCUGCACAGAACGUCUGCAGAGUGCACAGAAGAAACAUCGGGCAGCCUGCGCGCCUCCUGCACCUGAGGAGCUGCGAGGGCAAUGGAGGCAGCAUGUGUGGGAUGAGAUGAGACCAGCGGGAAGAGA
Long non-coding RNA from Homo sapiens (human), 685 nucleotides. The record is from Ensembl. Lineage: Eukaryota; Metazoa; Chordata; Mammalia; Primates; Hominidae.